RNAcentral lists this ribosomal RNA (548 nucleotides) under uncultured bacterium. Its description in RNAcentral is "bacterial SSU rRNA". It matches the Rfam family "Bacterial small subunit ribosomal RNA", at positions 355 to 896 of the family's 1533-position model. The record is from RNAcentral.
UGGGGAAUCUUGGACAAUGGGCGAAAGCCUGAUCCAGCCAUGCCGCGUGCAGGAUGAAGGCCUUCGGGUUGUAAACUGCUUUUGUACGGAACGAAAAGACUCUGGUUAAUACCUGGGGUCCAUGACGGUACCGUAAGAAUAAGCACCGGCUAACUACGUGCCAGCAGCCGCGGUAAUACGUAGGGUGCAAGCGUUAAUCGGAAUUACUGGGCGUAAAGCGUGCGCAGGCGGUUAUAUAAGACAGAUGUGAAAUCCCCGGGCUCAACCUGGGAACUGCAUUUGUGACUGUAUAGCUAGAGUACGGCAGAGGGGGAUGGAAUUCCGCGUGUAGCAGUGAAAUGCGUAGAUAUGCGGAGGAACACCGAUGGCGAAGGCAAUCCCCUGGGCCUGUACUGACGCUCAUGCACGAAAGCGUGGGGAGCAAACAGGAUUAGAUACCCUGGUAGUCCACGCCCUAAACGAUGUCAACUGGUUGUUGGGUCUUCACUGACUCAGUAACGAAGCUAACGCGUGAAGUUGACCGCCUGGGGAGUACGGCCGCAAGGUUG